AGAGUUUGAUCCUGGCUCAGGACGAACGCUGGCGGCGUGCCUAACACAUGCAAGUCGAACGAGAAUCUUUGAACAGAUCUUUUCGGAGUGACGUUCAAAGAGGAAAGUGGCGGACGGGCGAGUAACGCGUGAGUAACCUGCCCAUAAGAGGGGGAUAAUCCAUGGAAACGUGGACUAAUACCGCAUAUUGUAGUUAAGUUGCAUGACUUGAUUAUGAAAGAUUUAUCGCUUAUGGAUGGACUCGCGUCAGAUUAGAUAGUUGGUGAGGUAACGGCUCACCAAGUCAACGAUCUGUAGCCGAACUGAGAGGUUGAUCGGCCGCAUUGGGACUGAGACACGGCCCAGACUCCUACGGGAGGCAGCAGUGGGGAAUAUUGCGCAAUGGGGGCAACCCUGACGCAGCAACGCCGCGUGCAGGAAGAAGGUCUUCGGAUUGUAAACUGUUGUCGCAAGGGAAGAAGACAGUGACGGUACCUUGUGAGAAAGUCACGGCUAACUACGUGCCAGCAGCCGCGGUAAUACGUAGGUGACAAGCGUUGUCCGGAUUUACUGGGUGUAAAGGGCGCGUAGGCGGACUGUCAAGUCAGUCGUGAAAUACCGGGGCUUAACCCCGGGGCUGCGAUUGAAACUGACAGCCUUGAGUAUCGGAGAGGAAAGCGGAAUUCCUAGUGUAGCGGUGAAAUGCGUAGAUAUUAGGAGGAACACCAGUGGCGAAGGCGGCUUUCUGGACGACAACUGACGCUGAGGCGCGAAAGUGUGGGGAGCAAACAGGAUUAGAUACCCUGGUAGUCCACACCGUAAACGAUGGAUACUAGGUGUAGGAGGUAUCGACCCCUUCUGUGCCGCAGUUAACACAAUAAGUAUCCCACCUGGGGAGUACGACCGCAAGGUUGAAACUCAAAGGAAUUGACGGGGGCCCGCACAAGCAGUGGAGUAUGUGGUUUAAUUCGAAGCAACGCGAAGAACCUUA
This 970-nucleotide ribosomal RNA is filed under the name human gut metagenome. Its description in RNAcentral is "bacterial SSU rRNA". It matches the Rfam family "Bacterial small subunit ribosomal RNA", at positions 8 to 973 of the family's 1533-position model. The record is from RNAcentral. RNAcentral also lists the same sequence under 1 other name.